UGCACGCAUGACACUGCCUCCUGCUCUGUGGACCCGCAUGGAUCUGGGGAUGGGGGCUCCCCUUGCACUACCAUGACCAAGCCUCUGCCAGGUUCUGGGCUUUGGAGAGGAAGAAGACUUAGUCCCCAGGGUCGUGAGACCACAAUGAGGCAAGAGUCCCUGCCCGAGAGGAGGGAAGGGGGAGGAAGAAAGGGCAGUGAUGGUGGCGGGAGCCUCCGGUAAGAUGUGGCCUUUUCUCCCCUUCCCGAGGCCUGCGGCGUAGACUUUGAGAUUCGAGCCUUCUGUGCUAAAUCACUAGAAGAGAAAAGCCACAAAAGGAACUCCGUGCGGCUGGUGAUCCGAAAGGUGCAGUUCGCCCCAGAGAAACCCGGCCCCCAGCCUUCAGCCGAAACCACACGCCACUUCCUCAUGUCUGACCGGUCCCUGCACCUCGAGGCUUCCCUGGACAAGGAGGUGGGGCGUGAGAGGGUGACACGGAUGCCACGGUGCAGUUUAGACCCUGGGGGAGGGGCGAAGCCACACAUCAAGAUGACAUUUGUAAAGGAGGUUGCUUUGGCUGGGUGUGGACAGUUGCCGUGG
Molecule: small RNA, 579 nt
Filed under: Pan troglodytes (chimpanzee)
Lineage: Eukaryota; Metazoa; Chordata; Mammalia; Primates; Hominidae
Description: retained intron
Source: RNAcentral